AUUGAACGCUGGCGGAAUGCUUUACACAUGCAAGUCGAACGGCAGCACGGGGGCAACCCUGGUGGCGAGUGGCGAACGGGUGAGUAAUACAUCGGAACGUGCCCAGUCGUGGGGGAUAACGUAGCGAAAGCUACGCUAAUACCGCAUACGAUCUACGGAUGAAAGCGGGGGAUCGCAAGACCUCGCGCGAUUGGAGCGGCCGAUGGCAGAUUAGGUAGUUGGUGAGGUAAAGGCUCACCAAGCCGACGAUCUGUAGCUGGUCUGAGAGGACGACCAGCCACACUGGGACUGAGACACGGCCCAGACUCCUACGGGAGGCAGCAGUGGGGAAUUUUGGACAAUGGGCGCAAGCCUGAUCCAGCCAUUCCGCGUGCAGGAUGAAGGCCCUCGGGUUGUAAACUGCUUUUGUACGGAACGAAACGGCUCUCUCUAAUACAGGGGGCUAAUGACGGUACCGUAAGAGUAAGCACCGGCUAACUACGUGCCAGCAGCCGCGGUAA
This 500-nucleotide ribosomal RNA is filed under the name uncultured bacterium. RNAcentral's name for it is "partial 16S ribosomal RNA". It matches the Rfam family "Bacterial small subunit ribosomal RNA", at positions 29 to 523 of the family's 1533-position model. The record is from RNAcentral.